CCUACGGGUGGCAGCAGUGAGGAAUAUUGGUCAAUGGGCGGAAGCCUGAACCAGCCAAGUAGCGUGCGGGCUGAAGGCCCUACGGGUCGUAAACCGCUUUUGCACGGGGAUAACACCCUCCACUUGUGGAGGUCUGCAGGUCACGUGCGAAUAAGGGCCGGCUAAUUCCGUGCCAGCAGCCGCGGUAAUACGGAGGGCUCGAGCGGUAUCCGGAUUCCUUGGGCUUAGAGGGCGCGUAGGCGGACGCUUAAGUCAGCGGUAAAGUUGCGGGGCUCAACCUCGUCGCACCGUUGAAACUGGGGGCGUUGAGUGGGCGAGAAGUACGCGGAAUGCGUGGUGGAGCGGUGAAAUACAUAGAUAGCACGCAGAACUCCGAUUGCGAAGGCAGAGUACCGGCGCCCAACUGACGCUGAAGCAAGAAGGCGUGGGUAUCGAACAGGAUUAGAGACCCGAGUAGUC
RNAcentral lists this ribosomal RNA (459 nucleotides) under uncultured bacterium. RNAcentral's name for it is "partial 16S ribosomal RNA". It matches the Rfam family "Bacterial small subunit ribosomal RNA", at positions 338 to 795 of the family's 1533-position model. The record is from RNAcentral.